RNAcentral lists this ribosomal RNA (441 nucleotides) under uncultured Desulfobulbus sp. Its description in RNAcentral is "bacterial SSU rRNA". It matches the Rfam family "Bacterial small subunit ribosomal RNA", at positions 948 to 1382 of the family's 1533-position model. Lineage: Bacteria; Pseudomonadati; Thermodesulfobacteriota; Desulfobulbia; Desulfobulbales; Desulfobulbaceae. The record is from RNAcentral.
AAUUCGAUGCAACGCGAAGAACCUUACCUGGUCUUGACAUCCCGGAGACCCUUAGGAAACUAGGGGGUGCUUCCAUCUGGAAGAAUCUGGAGACAGGUGCUGCAUGGCUGUCGUCAGCUCGUGUCGUGAGAUGUUGGGUUAAGUCCCGCAACGAGCGCAACCCUUGCCUUUUAGUUGCCAGCAGUUCGGCUGGGCACUCUAAAGGGACUGCCGGUGUUAAACCGGAGGAAGGUGGGGAUGACGUCAGGUCCUCAUGGCCUUUAUGACCAGGGCUACACACGUACUACAAUGGCCGAUACAAAGGGCAGCGACACUGCGAGGUGAAGCCAAUCCCGUAAAAUCGGUCUCAGUCCGGAUUGGAGUCUGCAACUCGACUCCAUGAAGUUGGAAUCGCUAGUAAUCGUGGAUCAGCAUGCCACGGUGAAUACGUUCCCGGGCCUU